RNAcentral lists this long non-coding RNA (335 nucleotides) under Elaeis guineensis (African oil palm). RNAcentral describes it as "long non-coding RNA (EGUI_LNC021268)". Lineage: Eukaryota; Viridiplantae; Streptophyta; Magnoliopsida; Arecales; Arecaceae. The record is from RNAcentral.
AGUGCUAAAUCAGACAAAUAUAAAUUUGUAAGGUGUUGGUGCAAAAAUCUGCUUGCGCCGGAGAAGCUGGAGUCGGAGAAGUCACGGUCGCCGUCGGGACCUGCAAAGGAAGUCUAACCUGGAGGUGGGGUUGCUCCGGCAAGACCCUCCGAUGCUCAAGUCAGUUCUCUGCCUCAACAAGAAUGGAGUGCUCGAACGGAGAAUUUAGCAGAGUUUUGAGAUAAGAAAUGAGCUUAUAGAAUAACGUAUCUGGGUCCCCCUUUUAUAGGCGAAGGAAGCAACGGAUUGAUGGCGACGUUUGUAACCGUCUGGCAGUGGACUGCCCAGGGUCAGGC